ACCGUCGUGAGACAGGUUAGUUUUACCCUACUGUUGACUAAUUGUUGCGAUAGUAAUCCUGCUUAGUACGAGAGGAACAGCAGGUUCAGACAUUUGGUUCAUGGACUUGACCGAUCGGUCAAUGGUCCGAAGCUAACAUCUGGGGGAUUAUGACUGAACGCCUCUAAGUCAGAAUCCCACCUAGUCAAGGCAGCGAUAACUUUGUUUCCCGGUGUCGGGAGGCAACUCUAUCUCGUGGCAACAUGAGAGCUUAUGCCCUAAUAAAUGACCUUGCCGGUAUGGAUAAUCCCUGCUGGUUGUCAAAGCCAGAUCACUCUGGUUCAAUGUCGGGGCGCAAAAUCACAUGUUUACGACAUGUAUACUGGUCAAGGUGUUGUAUCCAGUAGAGCAGUGUUUGUAUACUGCGAUCUGUUGAGACUAUCCUCUGAUCGGGUGUUUUG
RNAcentral lists this ribosomal RNA (440 nucleotides) under Trichostrongylus colubriformis. Its description in RNAcentral is "eukaryotic LSU rRNA". It matches the Rfam family "Eukaryotic large subunit ribosomal RNA", at positions 2967 to 3400 of the family's 3401-position model. RNAcentral also lists the same sequence under 1 other name. The record is from RNAcentral. Lineage: Eukaryota; Metazoa; Nematoda; Chromadorea; Rhabditida; Trichostrongylidae.